AAUCAACGCUGGCGGCGUGCCUAACACAUGCAAGUCGAACGCGAAAGCCCUUUCGGGGGGUAAGUAGAGUGGCGUCCGGGUGAGUAACACGUAGGUAAUCUACCUUCGGGUGGGGAAUAACCAGUCGAAAGAUUGGCUAAUACCGCAUAAUGCAGCGGCACCUAAUGGUGAUUAGUUGUUAAAGCGGGGGAGUCGUAAGACCUCGCGCCUGAAGAGGAGCCUGCGGCAGAUUAGCUAGUUGGGAGGUAAUGGCUCACCAAGGCUUCGAUCUGUAGCUGGUCUGAGAGGACGGCCAGCCACACUGGCACUGACAC
Molecule: ribosomal RNA, 314 nt
Filed under: uncultured bacterium
Lineage: Bacteria
Description: bacterial SSU rRNA
Rfam family: Bacterial small subunit ribosomal RNA
Source: RNAcentral